GAUGGCUAGGAUGGCAAGAAAGUACAUCUAAAUCAGAUAAGAGCAUCAUAGAUUUCUUUACAUUUAGUUUUCUUAAAUGUGGUCUUGAGAGCUAACAUCCAAGUACACUGGAGAGUGUGGUAAGUGUGAAAAGAGGUGUGAUUUGAAUGACUUUAUCGUUAUUUGCAGAAACUUGUUACAGUAGAAAUUGUCAUAUUAGGCAAUAGUUAUAAUCAGGACCACAGACUGAGCACAGUCAAUGAUAAAAUAGUUCCAAGAGCAUCAUGAGGUUGAAAUACUGUUCUUGUAAGGUACAAUUAAUCUUAUGUAUAAAUUUGACUCAUUUCAUUUGUUAUAAUGUAUGAGUUUAACAACUCUAUUUAUGAUGGUAGGAAAUGUUUACUUAAUAGACAAAAUAUUUCACAAUUUCAAUGAAAAACAUGUGACAUCACACCAACAGUUUACAUUCCCUAAUUGUUUUUUUUAAAGUGUUUAUAUGUAUUCUCUCCAUUGAUGUUUUGAUCAUCACCAUUGGCUGAUAACUCCUACAACUAACCUCUAGCAUAUGAGAUACAUCCCUUACUUGCUAUUCAGCUAUGCAUUCAGUUUGUGAUGAAACUAAGAAUUUAACAUAAAAGAAGAUGUUAUUCACCUAAACAUUUUAAACUAUAAAUUUUUGUUUACAAUAUUUACCAUAAUAAGUUACACAGAGCCAUUGAAAAAUCUUGUGAGAGUUGUUAAUUACCCUAAAUGCAGAUGACUUGUUGAUAAAUAGUGUUAUUUGUGACCUUAACUUUUCAAAGAGUGUGGCAUUAAACUUUAGAAACAUUAUUUACACAGUUACUAGAAUAAAAGUUGAAAAUUCCAAUUCUUAUGAGUUUUCUCUCAUAAUAGUUUGGACAAGAAUGAGGUGGGAGAAAACUGCAGUUAUUACGAAUGCUGGAAAGUGCUACAUGUGUCCAACUUGUAAUGCUAUUUUUGCUACAACACAUAGACUGCGGAACCAUUAUCUGUAUCAGCAUAAAGCACCAAAGAAACACAUCUGUUCAACUUGUGGCAAAGGAUUCACACGCAGGGCAGACCUUUGGAAACAUCUUUACACUCAUUUUGGGAGUUGAAACUGCAUUUACAUUUCUCAAACUUUCCACAUUAUAUAACCUCAGAAUAAAUUCAAUUACAUAUUGACUCCCUGAUUGUGAAUGUUUUCCAUAUGCUACUGUGUGUGUGUCAACACCUGUAUGACAGAGUUGCUCUAAGGGAGAAAGAACUUGGGAAGAGAGAAUUGUCCUAGAACACAAAGUGCAUGGUUAAUCGACAUAAAUACAUGGUUUGUCAAAAUAUUGGAACUUGCAUAGUGAAAUUGCUGUUCAGAAAGAAUCGAAUGGGAAAAAAUGUUGGUUGAGACACCACAGGGGUAUAGGUAUCUUUGUCCAUCAUGUAGAAAAAGCUAUGCCUCUUCCGAAAGCUUGCGAAUACAUCACUACUAUCAACACAGAAAACAAAACCGAUGCCACUGCAACUACUGUGGUAGAGGUUUUCUCAGAAAUGGUGAUAUGAAGCGACACUCUUUUGGUUGUAAAUUUCAAAAGAUUGAUUAGGUAACAGAAUGUCAAUGAUUUGUCAGUAAUUGUUAACAGAACAUUGUUUGAAAACACCAAGAAAGACAUUUAAUUUGAAUUGUUGGGAUUCUGCAGUUGAUGCACUAGGAUUUUGUAGAGGUCGAAGGGUCAAGUGGUCAUCUAUGGCAGUUCAUACGAGCUCGGGUCAGAGAUGGCUGUGCAGUAUAUGUAUGAGGACUUUCUCUUCACCAAAUUCUCUACGGAUGCAUCACUUGUACAUGCAUAUCUGGCAAAAAAACCAGAAAUGUCGUAAAUGUGGCAAGGGAUUCAAACGACCCCAAGAUCGUAAUCAGCAUGAGCAGUCCUGCAAACGCUGGGUGUAGACAAAAGAAAAGUUGAAAUAUUCUAUGUGUUUGUUUUUUACAUUUAAGCAUAUAUAUAAUUGUUUAGUCACUGAAUAUUCUCGUGAAAAAUUAUUUAAAAUGUUUUGUAAAAGUGAACUUGUGCCUUUCUAAAGAAACUUCUGACUGAACGAUGCUAGACACCCCAGUUGAAAGUAUUAUGUAAACUCUAAAAUCAGCAUAUGAUAUGUAGACUGUAGUUGGCUGUUGGUGACUAAUCUUUCUCAUAAAUAUCAUGAAAUGUUUCAUGCUAUGAUUCACUUUUAAUCAGGCUUGAAAAAUAUGUAUGUUCUUCAUAAAGAUGCAAAACCAAAGCAGGAAACUACUUUUAUCUUUAGUUAAAGAUGGUUUUUGUUAUACUUAGUUUUAUUUAAUUAAAAUCUUGAAUGUUUUUUCCUAACGUUUUAUCUUCUGCAAGUUUUAGAAUUGUAUUUUGUUUUGAAAAUGGCCAUCCAGUUUUUACAGUAUUGUUAGAAUAUCUGUUUAAUUAUUAUCUUUUAAAAAGUUUCAGUUCAACCACAUUGUGCUUUGGUUUUGAUUACCUUUUUCUGAUCUUCUUAAAUAAGGAUAUUGUGCAAGUUUUCACAAAAAGAUUCAGUUUUUAGAAUGUGGGUAAAUACUACAUAGUUUGAUUAUUACAAUUUGAAAUUUGUUCAUGUAAGUUGUUACAAAAGUUUGAAGGAAAAUUAUUGCAAUAUUGUGUAAAGUUUUAGAGUUGUUCUCUAUGUAUGUAAAGAUUUGAAUAGUUUGCAUUGCUGGGGAUAUCAUGCAUAAUGUUUUGACAUUUGAUGAUGUAUUUAUUUAUUAAUUGUAAAGUACUCUCGAAUUAGAAUUAGAUUUAAGUAACAGUCAUUUAAGAACAAACAAUUGGACCAUAUUCAGUCCAAGCAGCUUGUAAAAAUAUAUGUGUAUAAUAAAUUGGAAAAUACAGCAAAAUAGAUUACCCGUGGUAGACAAACUGCCAACUGUUUCAUUUCUUAGCAUUUGUAACCUAUUUCGUGAUGGUCUUUACUGUACUAUGUAAUAAUAUAUGUAUGCAUUAUUUUAUCAUACAGUAUAAAAGAUAAAUAUGUUGUAAUAUGAAAAGUAAAUUUACUGCUGUGUAUUUAUUAAAUUGGUGUGACAAAAUUGUUCAGAUCUGAGGCUACUAAGAUUUUUGUUAAACUAUGAAUAAAACCUUGCUUUGAGACGCAGGAAGCAUGUGUGUUUGUGAAAAUCAUUUAGAAACACUUUUCUCUUUGACUGAAGUUUGAUGUGGUUAGACAAGUUCAAUAAACGUUUUUAUAAAGCAUUUUACACUAUUUAGUUUCUUAAUAAUAGGGAAUAAAAGGUUAUAGGUAAUAGCCAUGUUUCAUAAAAGUUUCUAUUGUGAUGAAAUAUGAAGAUCUUUGUUCUUUUUAUUGGUUGACAUUAACAUUUUUUCAGGUCGAAGGGUCAAGUGGUCAUCUAUGGCAGUUCAUACAAGCUCUGGUCAGAGAUGGCUGUGUAGUAUAUGCAUGAGGACAUUCUCUUCACCCAAAUCUCUCCGAAUGCAUCACUUAUACAUGCACAUCUGGCAGAAAACUCAGAAGUGUAGUAAAUGUGGUAAAGGAUUUAAACGACCUCAAGAACGUAAUCAUCAUGAACAGUCAUGCAAACAGGCCUUUAAUAAAGAGCAAAUAUGUUUUACAUUUCCCCACUUUUCGUAAAAUUCGUGACUUGAAAUGGUUAUGUGAAUUGUGUAAACAAUAUAUUUAUGUUUACAUGUACUCUAAGUUAAAAGUGUGCUUGGGCAGUAAAGAUUAUUCCUGUCAAACAAUUUAAACAAUGAAUCUUAACAUCUUACAAUUAUAUAUACCACUUAUAUCAGGGUCAGAUUGUGCUUGACAGCUCUCAGAUUGGUAUAUAUUUUAUUUUCUUCUCAACUUUACAAUUGUAGAAAUUAUUUUUUUGUGUGUGUGUGUAGGACUUAUUAAUUCGACUUACUAAAAACUAGUUACUCUUGACUAUUGGUACCAAGAGAAUGAUUAAAUUAGCUAUUAUAUCAUGGGUUCUUUAGCUUCAUUACAAUAUCUACACCAGUUUCUAACAUUUGAGAGAUUUUUUUAAAAAUCUGUUAGAAAUCUCCAUUACUCUUUCACAAGUUUAAUUCAUUUUUCUAAAAUUUGCUAAUGUAAUUAUUAAAAUAUAAUUUGACAAGUAAACUGUACAAUCAUUAAAUACAUUGCUGACAUUAACCCUUUCACCUUGGGCUCAUGCAAUUUGGAGAAAUCAAUUCACAAAUUUUACUUGUACAACAAUACAUGCAUUAACUAUGAGAUUUCUUAACUUAUCCU
Limulus polyphemus (Atlantic horseshoe crab) is the source of this 4254-nucleotide long non-coding RNA. RefSeq lists it as uncharacterized. The transcript has 4 exons. NCBI's taxonomy places the organism in Eukaryota, Metazoa, Arthropoda, Merostomata, Xiphosura, Limulidae. The record is from RefSeq and is a predicted model, not a curated record.